Molecule: transfer-messenger RNA, 322 nt
Filed under: Reyranella humidisoli
Lineage: Bacteria; Pseudomonadati; Pseudomonadota; Alphaproteobacteria; Hyphomicrobiales; Reyranellaceae
Rfam family: Alphaproteobacteria transfer-messenger RNA
About the family: Bacterial tmRNA, also known as 10Sa RNA or SsrA, is named for its dual tRNA and mRNA-like properties. Its role is to liberate the mRNA from a stalled ribosome. To accomplish this part of the tmRNA is used as a reading frame that ends in a translation stop signal.
Source: RNAcentral
CGCCUUCAAAAUGCCGGCCGAUGCGCCUAUAUAGGGCCUGUCGGGAAACCGACUAUGGCGAUAAACGCCGCGUGACAUAAGCGUUUCGGACCCGGGGGCAGUACCCGGCGCCUCCACCAUUAUUUCUCCACCCUUGGGUGGAACCGAUGGGGGCGAACCAGGAUCGACGGGCGUGGUAAAGACGCGGUUUUUGCUCGGUAUGGUUCCGCCGUGACGGGCCAUUCACAAGUGCUAACGAUAACACCGUUACACUCGCUGCUGCCGCCUAAACAGCGGACGUAAGCGCGGUCCGGGGGGCACCGGGCAACAGAAGCCCCCCACU